AUGCACGUGUUGCUGCUGCAGCUGCUUCUAGCUGCGUCAGCCCUUUGCUCCUAUGGAGCUGGGCAAAGCCUCAGGCAGCCAAAACCUUGCGCCAGCAGAGCCGUGCAAAUGACUGCACGGAUCAGGUGCCAUUUUUCUGGCUCAGGCUUUCUGAAGAGCUUCAUCCACUGGUACCAACACAAACCCGGAGAAGCUCCAAAGCCCCUUCUCUAUGUAGGGACAAUCUGGGGCCGAGAAGGCGAUGAUAGAGUCCAUCCGACAAUAAAUAAAAUCACACAGCAGCAAGAGGCUACUCUUAUGGCACUUACUGGGACCUCACAUCCUUUGAAAACCACUGGGCAGCUAACACGAAACCUCCUCUGUGCUCCCAAGGGCUGGAAACCUCACCUGACUCCAGGGUCCUGCUUGCCAGGCUGGGCUCCCCCGCAGGAACUCAUUACAGUGAAAGUGGUGCCGCUCAAGUCUUGCAGCAAACCCCCAUAUCCAUCACCAAGCCAGAAAGCAAAACGGUGCUAAUCAACUGCCACGUCUCCCAUCCUGAUUUUAACAAAGUUUUCAUUCACUG
This is a non-coding RNA of Nipponia nippon (crested ibis), 565 nucleotides long. Lineage: Eukaryota; Metazoa; Chordata; Aves; Pelecaniformes; Threskiornithidae. The record is from the annotation of a RefSeq genome assembly.